This 253-nucleotide ribosomal RNA is filed under the name uncultured bacterium. Its description in RNAcentral is "partial 16S ribosomal RNA". It matches the Rfam family "Bacterial small subunit ribosomal RNA", at positions 524 to 776 of the family's 1533-position model. The record is from RNAcentral.
UACAGAGGGUGCAAGCGUUAAUCGGAUUUACUGGGCGUAAAGCGCGCGUAGGCGGCUCUGCAAGUCGAGUGUGAAAUCCCCAGGCUUAACCUGGGAACUGCAUUCGAGACUGCAUAGCUAGAGUAUGGGAGAGGGAAGUGGAAUUUCAGGUGUAGCGGUGAAAUGCGUAGAUAUCUGAAGGAACAUCAGUGGCGAAAGCGACUUCCUGGACCAAUACUGACGCUCAUGUGCGAAAGCGUGGGGAGCAAACAGG